AUCCUUUUGUAGUUCGUGAGUAUGAUGACUGGGUGUUCACGCACGUGUGUGAGAUGUGCCACCCUCAAACCUUGUUACGAUGUCAGCUCAUUACCUAACUUGAAA
Molecule: small nucleolar RNA, 105 nt
Organism: Sapajus apella (tufted capuchin)
Lineage: Eukaryota; Metazoa; Chordata; Mammalia; Primates; Cebidae
Product: small nucleolar RNA U13
Exons: 1
Source: RefSeq, a predicted model, not a curated record